AACGCUGGCGGCGUGCCUAACACAUGCAAGUCAACUUGACUGAAGGAGCAAUCUGACAGUAGAGUGGCGCAAGGGUGCGUAACGCGUAAGUAACUUGCCCCAAGGUAAGGAAUAACGUCGAGAAAUCGGCGCUAAUACCUCAUAAUGCAGCGGAUCCGCAUGGAUAUGUUGUUAAAGGUUUACCGCCUUGGGAUAGGCUUGCGUCUGAUUAGUUAGUUGGUGUGGUAACGGCACACCAAGGCUACGACCAGUAACUGGUCUGAGAGGAUGAUCAGUCACACUGGAACUGAGACACGGUCCAGACUCCUACGGGAGGCAGCAGUGAGGAAUAUUGGGCAAUGCUCGAAAGAGUGACCCAGCAACGCCGCGUGGAGGAUGAAGGUAUUCUAUAUCGUAAACUCCUGUGAGAGCAGACGAAAGACAGAUUAUUAAUCUGGAUGACUGUAUGCUCAGAGGAAGCCCCGGCUAACUACGUG
RNAcentral lists this ribosomal RNA (476 nucleotides) under uncultured bacterium. RNAcentral's name for it is "bacterial SSU rRNA". It matches the Rfam family "Bacterial small subunit ribosomal RNA", at positions 32 to 507 of the family's 1533-position model. The record is from RNAcentral.